CACCACCAGCACCAGGCCCGGGUCGUCGAUGCGCUCGGGCCGCGCCAGGCGCAGCACGGCCUCCACGAAGACGGUGAAGCAGAGCGCGAUACUCUGGAGGCUGAGGCAGAAAGAUCGCAUGAACCCAGGAGUUCAAGGCCAGCUGGGGAACAUGGGAGACCCAACUCAAAAAGAGCAAGUUUCAGAAUCCAUUCCAGCCUCUGGCACAUCGCUGUCCUGGUCCAUAAAGCAUAACCUUAUGCUUCAGUGAUCUGAGGUCCCUAACAACUGCACCGAAUCAUCCUUGACAGAGGGACCCGCCUUCAACUAGAUGAGCCCAGACUCGGGGAGCUCCUCAAACACUUCCCUGCACCCCAAGGCAAAUGUCCUUAUGCUGAGAGCAUGAAGGAUUGAUCACGCAAACAGUUCUCUAAAAAUUAAUAUUAGAACCAUCAAUAAAAAAGAGGUAAGAAGAUA
Non-coding RNA from Heterocephalus glaber (naked mole-rat), 456 nucleotides. NCBI's taxonomy places the organism in Eukaryota, Metazoa, Chordata, Mammalia, Rodentia, Bathyergidae. The record is from RefSeq and is a predicted model, not a curated record.